GACGAACGCUGGCGGCGUGCUUAACACAUGCAAGUCGAGCGGUAAGGCCCUUUCGGGGGUACACGAGCGGCGAACGGGUGAGUAACACGUGGGUGACCUGCCCUCAGCUCUGGGAUAAGCCUGGGAAACUGGGUCUAAUACUGGAUAUGACUCCACGGUGCAUGGCGUGGGGUGGAAAGCCUUGUGCGGCUGAGGAUGGGCCCGCGGCCUAUCAGCUUGUUGGUGGGGUGANGGCCUACCAAGGCGACGACGGGUAGCCGGCCUGAGAGGGCGACCGGCCACACUGGGACUGAGACACGGCCCAGACUCCUACGGGAGGCAGCAGUGGGGAAUCUUGCGCAAUGGGCGAAAGCCUGACGCAGCGACGCCGCGUGAGGGAUGACGGCCU
RNAcentral lists this ribosomal RNA (388 nucleotides) under uncultured bacterium. Its description in RNAcentral is "bacterial SSU rRNA". It matches the Rfam family "Bacterial small subunit ribosomal RNA", at positions 28 to 417 of the family's 1533-position model. The record is from RNAcentral.